This 253-nucleotide ribosomal RNA is filed under the name uncultured bacterium. RNAcentral's name for it is "partial 16S ribosomal RNA". It matches the Rfam family "Bacterial small subunit ribosomal RNA", at positions 524 to 776 of the family's 1533-position model. The record is from RNAcentral.
GACAGAGGGUGCAAGCGUUGUUCGGAAUUACUGGGCGUAAAGCGCGCGUAGGCGGCCGGGUAAGUCGGAUGUGAAAGCCCAUGGCUCAACCAUGGAAGCGCAUCCGAAACUACCUAGCUUGAGUCCCGGAGAGGGUGGUGGAAUUCCCAGUGUAGAGGUGAAAUUCGUAGAUAUUGGGAGGAACACCGGUGGCGAAGGCGGCCACCUGGACGGUGACUGACGCUGAGGUGCGAAAGCGUGGGGAUCAAACAGG